Molecule: non-coding RNA, 776 nt
Filed under: Catacroptera cloanthe
Lineage: Eukaryota; Metazoa; Arthropoda; Insecta; Lepidoptera; Nymphalidae
Source: RNAcentral
AUAAAAUAAUUAUGUUUUUACAAUUUUAUUAUGAAUUUAUUUUACAUAUAAAUUUUAGUAUAUAAUUUUAAUUAUUUUAAAAAUAAUUAAUUAAUUUAUUUAAUAGUAAUUAAUAUUAAAAAUUUAAGAAAUUAAGAUUUAGUAAUAUAAAAAUUAAUAACUAAUUUUGUGCCAGCAGUUGCGGUUAAACAAAUAUUAAAUUAAAUUAUUUCGGUUUAUAAUAAAUAUAAUUGAUAUUAAAUUAAAUAUUAAAUUAUUAAGUGAAAUUUUAAUUUAAUUAAAAUUUAUGAAAAAAUUAUGAUUUAAUAAAUUUUAAUAUAAACUAGGAUUAGAUACCCUAUUAUUAAAAAUUUAAUUUAUAAUACUAAAAUAGUAAAUAAUAGUUUAUUGAAACUUAAAUAAUAUGGCGGUAUUUUAGUUCAUUUAGAGGAAUCUGUCUAAUAAUUGAUAAUCCACGAAUGAAUUUACUUAAUUUAUAAUUUUGUAUAUCAUUGUUAAAAAAAUAUUUUUUAGUAAAAAUAAUAUUUAAAAUUUUAAAAAAGAAUUUAAUUCAGAUCAAGAUGCAGAUAAUAAUUAAGAAUAUGAUGGAUUACAAUAAAUAUAUUUAAAUGGAUAUUUAUAUGUAAAAUAAAUUUGAAGGUGGAUUUAAAUGUAAUUUUAAUUAGUUUAUUAAAAUGAUUAAAAAUUGAAAUAUGUACAUAUUGCCCGUCACUUUCAUUUAAAAAUUGGAAUAAGUCGUAACAAAGUAGAGGUACUGGAAAGUGUUUCUAGAAAGA